RNAcentral lists this microRNA (22 nucleotides) under Gallus gallus (chicken). RNAcentral's name for it is "gga-miR-3534". The record is from miRBase by way of RNAcentral. Lineage: Eukaryota; Metazoa; Chordata; Aves; Galliformes; Phasianidae.
UGUGGGUUGACAGUGCUGAGGU